GUUUUGUUUAUGAACAAUAUAUUACAAAUCGAUCCUUCUUAUGAAAUUAUUAUUAACUAAACGACCUUUGAUUUUUAUAAAAAUAGGCAUGUAAACAAAACACGCAUUUUCCUCGAUAGGCUUGUAAGAAUUUUUUGAUUACAUAACCCUUUGAAGAGAUAGAAUUGAGAUAACAAAGGAACUGGCAUUAAACGUUUUUAAUUAUCGCCUAUAUACAAGUGAAAACCCCUUUCUCAAAUCCUCUGAAAUGCACCCACGCCAAAAUGGAUAUUUGGAAUUUGCUUGGUAAUAUUGGAGAAGGCUUCGGUGGGUUACUGAAGUAUACUUGGAUCGGCAGUCUUUUGACUCUGGCACAAGAUGGAUAUAAGGUGGUUUACUUAUUUAUAGUCGCAAUAAUCAUCGUAACAAUAACUGUAACGGUAAUAUGUAUCAGAAGAUGCCAUCAAAAAGUGUUUUCCUCCAAAGAGGCCCUAAACCCCGAGGGGCCCAGGUUCAGAAAACGAGACAAAGCGUUAUUUUACGGCCGUAAGAUGAUGCGGAAAGUGAAAAAUAUCUCCGGUCAAGUGAGGAAUUCGGGGCAGGGCAAAAAGAGGAAAAUGGUGAUGAAGUUUGCCCGGAGAUUGUUGGCCCUGAAGAAAGAAGAACAGGAACAAUUAAAAGUAUUAGAACCGCCAGCGGAGUAUCUUCAAGAAGACAUUUUGAAUGACGAUCGGAUGCCCCCGGACGUUCUAUACAUGCUACAAAGCAUCCGGGUGUUCGGUCAUUUUGAAAAACCAAUUUUUCUGAAACUCUGCAAACAUACGGAAAUUAUUACCGUAAGUGCCGGCAUGUAUUUGUUUAAAAUCGGUGAUCCUGAUGAAAACUUUUAUAUCCUACAAAGUGGAAAGCUGAACGUGUUUAUUAGCAGCCAGGAAGGAACCACUUCCUUAAAAAUUGUGAAACCUGGCGAGAGUGUGACGUCUUUAUUGAGUUUCACUGACGUGCUAAUGGGUCACCCGAACCCUUACAAAACCAUAUCCGCCAAGGCCAUAGAGGACUCCACAGUGGUUAAGCUGCCAAUGACGGCCUUUCAGGAUAUUUUUCAAGAGUACCCAGAUAUCUUUAUUAGGGUGAUGCAGGUAAUCAUGGUAAGGCUCCAGAGGGUCACUUUUACCGCCCUUCACCAAUAUUUAGGGCUGAGUGCGGAGCUCGUGAGACAGAGCUCAAAACAAAAGGCCUCCUUUUCUUCCCCACUUAAAAGAAAAAGAGAAGGGGAAACCUGCAGGGAACCCAGCACCCUCUAUGGCAACCAGAGAGAAUCUUAUUUAGAUCAACCAUCUUUGUCGAAUCAAGGCCACAGACGCACCAAGUCGAGCGUAGGGGAGAUUAGUGGAAAAGUGGUCUCGCCCGGUUUUGGUGUCACGCCCGACAUGCUGGCUGACGUGGAGGCGGUCAAAGUAGAGUUCCAGGAUGUGUGUAAAAAGAGACACUCGGUGCCCGAAGAAACGUCCGAAGAGGAUUUAAUCCGAAUCGCCGGCGACGUUUUCAUUACCGAGUUGGGCCUUUUAGGGGACGACGAGGGGAUCGACCUGAAUUUGGAAAUUAGGGAAGUUUCGGCCGGGACUUACCUUAUGAAAGAGGAUUCGCAUAAAGACGUGGCUUUGGUUUAUGUUAUAUCGGGGGCACUAAUGGUCUCGCAAAAGGUAACGGACGGAGAGGAAGAGAUCCACAUGUACACGUCCUACCCGGGGGAAAUUGUCGGUGGGUUAGCGGUGCUUACUGGGGAACCCAGUUUUUUCACCAUCAGGGCCAAACAUCUCAGUAGGAUCGCCUUGUUGUCCAAAAAUACCUUUUAUAGUAUAAUGAAGGAAAAACCAAAAGUGGUCCUGUACGUGGCCAACAUGGUGGUCAAACGUCUCUCCCCGUUUGUCAGGCAAGUGGAUUUCGCUCUUGAUUGGUUAUUUAUCGAAUCAGGUAGAGCGGUCUACAGGCAAGACGACGAUAGCGAUUCCACUUAUAUCGUGCUCUCUGGCCGCUUACGUUCCGUAAUAACCGAUAAAAAUGGCAAAAAAGAACUGGUCGGAGAGUACGGAAAGGGAGACCUGAUUGGAGUGGUGGAAAUGGUGACCCAAACCAAACGCAGCACCACUGUCAUAGCCGUAAGGGAUUCCGAGUUGGCGAAACUGCCGGAGGGCUUAUUCAACGUGAUUAAAUUGAGGUUCCCGAUCGUGGUUACCAGACUGAUUAAUUUGUUGGGGCACAGGAUUUUAGGCUCUUGGAAGAAACCUACGGCAAUACAUAGCAGGAGUACCGCCAUCGAGAGUCGUCCCUCGCAAAUCAAUUUUUCCACCGUUGCCAUUGUUGCCGCGUCCGAUGACGUGCCUUUGACCGCGUUUACUUAUGAGUUGUACCAUUGUUUAACUGCGAUCGGUCCAACGUUACGUUUAACAUCGGACGUAAUAAAAAAAACCCUGGGAGCUACAAUAAUGGACCCGAACAACGAGUACCGUUUAUCCUCCUGGCUGGCCCAACAAGAGGAUCAACACAAAAUAUCGUUGUACCAAUGCGACCUAACUGUCUCCCCGUGGACCCAACGGUGCUUUAGACAAGCUGAUUGUAUUUUAAUCGUCGGUUUAGGGGAUAACCAUCCAUCUUUAGGUAAAGUGGAAAAGGAACUGGAACGACUGGCCAUAAGAACGCAAAAAGAGUUAGUGCUGCUGCACCGGGAGGGCGGGAAACCCAAGAACACCAUCGGUUGGCUCAAUAUUCGGUCCUGGGUGUCCUCCCAUCACCAUAUAGUAUGCCCCAAUAGGUUAUUCGCCAGAAAGAGUCAAUAUAGGAUUAACGAAUUGUAUUCGAAAGUGUGCGCGACCGAUCCGAACAUCCAUUCGGAUUUCUCCAGAUUGGCCCGUUGGUUAACGGGGAAAUCGGUGGGGCUGGUGUUAGGGGGCGGAGGGGCCCGGGGGGCCUCCCAUAUCGGAAUGAUCAAAGCCAUUCAAGAGGCGGGUAUUCCGAUCGAUAUGGUGGGCGGGGUGUCCAUCGGGGCUUUCAUGGGCGCCCUCUGGUGUCAAGAGAGAAAUAUUACAACGGUGACUCAAAAAGCCAGAGAGUGGUCCAAGAAAAUGACCCAGUGGUGGAGGCAGUUAUUAGAUCUCACUUAUCCGAUGACCUCGAUGUUUAGCGGUCGGGAGUUUAAUCAGACGAUUAAAAGCACUUUGGGGGAUACCUAUAUCGAGGACCUUUGGAUUCCUUAUUUUACAGUAACCACCGAUAUUACGAGUUCCUCUAUGAGAAUACACACCCAUGGUUCCUUAUGGCGUUACGUGCGCGCCUCGAUGUCUUUAUCCGGUUACAUGCCGCCGCUCUGUGACCCCAUAGACGCGCAUCUCUUAUUGGACGGAGGAUACACCAAUAACUUACCAGGUUCUCUUUGGCGGUAUGUGAGGGCUUCCAUGUCGAUCGUGGGAAUUUUCCCACCGAUUUGCGAUCCCGUUGACGGUCACAUGCUAAGUGACGGAUGUUACGUUAAUAAUGUGCCAGCGGACGUGAUGCGAAGUAUGGGCGCCGACCACAUUUUGGCCAUAGACGUGGGUUCGGUGGACGACCAGGAUUUGACCAAUUACGGCGACGUAUUGUCCGGUUGGUGGUUAUUGUGGAAACGAUGGAAUCCGUUCACGACGACCGUAAAAGUGCCUAAUUUACCCGAUAUACAGUCGCGGCUGGCUUAUGUCAGUUGUGUGAGACAGCUUGAGGAAGUGAAAAACAGCGAUUACUGCGACUACAUCCGUCCCCCGAUCGACAAAUACAAAACCCUACAGUUCGGCAGUUUCGACGAGAUCAGAGAAGUCGGUUACCAAUACGGCAAGACUUACCUGGAAGGUCUCAGUAAAUCCGGCAAUCUGCCCACUUUUAGGAGCAGCGAGAAGUUCAAUAAUAAAUUGGAGCACCAGUCGCAGUACACUUUUACCGAUUUGGCGCAAAUGGUGUGCAAAGUAUCUCGGCCUUAUGAAGAAGAUUCUUCGAGUUCGGGCCAAUCGGACAGCGAGGAUGAAGACGAGGGUAGAGGGGGCUACGCCUCAGAGCCCACCGGGGGGUUUUCAAACCCUUAUGGUCGUCAGAUGAGCUGGCACGGUCACACUAUAGAGGACUUGUUAGCUCACAUGUAGCCUAUUUCUUUACGUUGCUAUCUCUUUCUAACACACGCAGCUAUAAAUAUAAAUAUUAACCUAUCUCUCUGAUAUUCGGGAACAAUGGAUGAGAAACGCAUGCGUCGCGCCGGUGGCUCCCUCUCUUUGUCCGAAAACGAGUUGGCGUCUGAUGUGGAAUUCGACCUGAAACCUCUUGGCUCCUAGUAAAAUGUCUCAAGAAGAAGAAGAAGAAAAAAAAAACAAUAAUUUCGUGUGAUGUCAUAGUAUGUUUUAGUCAUUUUUAACGCUGCCAAAAAUAUUAUUUAAUUUAGGGGAUUAAUUAAUUAAUUAAUUGUGUGAAUGAUCGAACUAUUAUAAGUAAUUUGAAGUUUUGUAAGUGAUAUUAGGGAGUAAAGAAGUGUUUAUUAAUUGA
Anthonomus grandis grandis is the source of this 4539-nucleotide RNA transcript. It is a transcript of the gene named neuropathy target esterase sws, with no coding region annotated. NCBI's taxonomy places the organism in Eukaryota, Metazoa, Arthropoda, Insecta, Coleoptera, Curculionidae. The record is from RefSeq and is a predicted model, not a curated record. The transcript is spliced from 27 exons.